UACGGAGGGUGCAAGCGUUGUCCGGAAUCACUGGGCGUAAAGGGCGCGUAGGCGGCUCAUGAAGGCUGUGGUGAAAGUCCGGGGCUCAACCUCGGAUCGGCCGUGGCGACUCGUGGGCUGGAGCACUGUAGAGGCGGGUGGAAUUCCGGGUGUAGCGGUGGAAUGCGUAGAUAUCAGGAGGAACACCGGUGGCGAAGGCGGGUCUCUGGGCCGUUACUGACGCUGAGGAGCGAAAGCGUGGGGAGCGAACAGG
Molecule: ribosomal RNA, 253 nt
Filed under: uncultured bacterium
Lineage: Bacteria
Description: partial 16S ribosomal RNA
Rfam family: Bacterial small subunit ribosomal RNA
Source: RNAcentral